AGCAACUGCUAACAGCGAGGAGGGGUUUUGAAAGGUAAAGGCCAUUAGCUUGGAGGCAGAAGACAGACCUCCCUGACUGCUGAAUUCCUGCCGGCCUGAAAUUGGAGCAUUCCAAGCUCCUCAGAUGAGUCAUAAGCCACCAAGAUUGUGAGCCUCUGGGCUUCUCCCAGCUUGUAGGAGAAAUGCCUUGCAGGUGAAGAUGGUGAGGAAGUUGGCCCUGAAAUAGCCCAGCCCCUCGAAGAGACAAACAGGGAGGAGCAUCAUUCAGGUGCUUCACUGGGAAAUGAACCAGGAUAAUGUUCAUCUUAAAAUAACCUACUUCAAUGAACAUUCGGCCAAAAGACAAAAGGAAGGUAUUGCUAGGUAAUGUGCAGCCACUCUGUCACAGUCUUUUUUUUUUAAAUGAACACAAAUUCCUUGACUGUCUUCUUGCUGAGAGGUGAGGUCUCUGUCCCCCUCCUCUCCCUACUUGAAUCUGGAUGAGCUUGUGACUCACUUAUAACCAAGAAUAUGGAAGAAGUGAUGCUGUGUGAUCUCCUCAUGCCUGGAGCCUGUGAGCCUCUCUCUGAGAAGUCCAGUGCCCCUGAGCCCACCAUGCUGAAGAAGCCACCUGGAGAAGCCCCUGUUGACAGAGAGCCAGCAUCACCUGCCAGUCACCAGAAGGGAGCCAUCUCAGACAUCCAGCCCAGCUGAGCCUUCAACUGACUGCUGCCCCAACCAACAUGUGAACUGCAACCGCAUGAGAGACCCUCAAGUGAGAACCGCCCAGCUGAGCCUUUCCCAAGUUCCUGGCCCACAAAACCCAGAACAAAUUAAAAUGAGUGUUUUAAGCCAUUAAGGAGCAGGGUAAUUUGUUACACAGCAACAGUAACCAGGACACAUUCCCAAACCUAACUAGGAGGAAAUUUCCUCUUGAUAAAAAUGCUGAUUUUUUUAUUCAUCCUAGACCUUCAUAAGUCAGAAUCAUCUGUGGAUAAGGUAUAAGAAUCUGCAUUUUUUUUAAGACAAGCUCUCCCACCCCAGGUGAUUCAGAUGCACAGCCAGGUUUGGAAAUUUAAGACCUUGGAAGAGAGUCACAUUGCCUCUCUCUGAGUCUCAGCUUCCUUGUCUGUGAAUUGGGGAGGAGUGAGAGUUGGUGUGAGUAUCAAAGAAGACGCUGCAGGUAAAGUCUUUAGGGCCAGCCAGGCGUAGUGGCUCAUGCCUGUAAUCCCAGCACUUUGGGAGGCCAAGGCGGGUGGAUCAUGAGGUCAGGAGUUCAGCCUGGCCAAUAUGAUGAAACACUGUCUCUAUUAAAAAUACAAAAAAAUUAGCCAGGCAUGGUGCCAGGUGCCUGUAGUCCCAGCUACUCAGGAGGCUGAGACAGGAGAAUCGCUUGAGCCCAGGAAGCGGAGGUUGCAGUGAGCCGAGAUCACACCACUGCACUCCAGCCUGGGCGACAGAGCAAGACUCUGAGAAAAAAAAAAAAAA
Molecule: long non-coding RNA, 1467 nt
Filed under: Homo sapiens (human)
Lineage: Eukaryota; Metazoa; Chordata; Mammalia; Primates; Hominidae
Description: non-protein coding LINC01234:8
Source: RNAcentral